UCUCCGUAGUUGAACAUGCGGAGGGAGCAUUACUGAGCGAGGGUCUCCCGGCCCGACCUCCAACCCCAUGUGAACCGAAACCUGUUGCUUCGGGGGCGACCCUGCCUUUCGGCGCGGCGCCCCCGGAGGCUCAUCAAACACUGCAUCUUUGCGUCGGAGUCUUAAUGAAUUUAAACAAAACUUUUAACAACGGAUCUCUUGGUUCUGGCAUCGAUGAAGAACGCAGC
RNAcentral lists this unclassified non-coding RNA (227 nucleotides) under uncultured fungus. RNAcentral describes it as "sequence contains ITS1, 5.8S rRNA gene". The stretch from base 179 to 227 matches the Rfam family "5.8S ribosomal RNA", at positions 1 to 49 of the family's 154-position model. Lineage: Eukaryota; Fungi. The record is from RNAcentral.